UAGGCCUACGGGGGGCAGCAGUGGGGAAUAUUGCACAAUGGGGGGAACCCUGAUGCAGCGACGCCGCGUGAGUGAAGAAGUAUUUCGGUAUGUAAAGCUCUAUCAGCAGGGAAGAUAAUGACGGUACCUGACUAAGAAGCCCCGGCUAACUACGUGCCAGCAGCCGCGGUAAUACGUAGGGGGCAAGCGUUAUCCGGAUUUACUGGGUGUAAAGGGUGCGUAGGUGGCAGGGCAAGUCAGAUGUGAAAGUCCGGGGCUCAACCCCGGGACUGCAUUGGAAACUGUCCGGCUAGAGUGCAGGAGAG
This 305-nucleotide ribosomal RNA is filed under the name uncultured bacterium. RNAcentral's name for it is "bacterial SSU rRNA". It matches the Rfam family "Bacterial small subunit ribosomal RNA", at positions 334 to 656 of the family's 1533-position model. The record is from RNAcentral.